AAAACAAACAACAUUUUGACGUGAAAAGCUCCUGGAUCUUCUUAUUUUGGGAACUUCCUCUUAACCUUCCUGCCUCUAACCUCCUCUAAUCUCUUUAUAUAUACAUUCACCUUCUUGCUUCCUGCUUACCAACUAUAUAUAUUGCUUGGUGCUCGACAUGGUGGAAUAUUAUGAGUUUGGUGUACUAGAACAAGAGUUUCACCAUUUUUUUGCGGCCUUUUUCUUGGAUUUUCCUUGAUGUCGUCUAGGUGAAUGGCCUUUGGAGAACCUUGUCUCUGCUGAAGAAUUAACUCGGCGUACAUGGGAAAGCCAGGCAUUUUUUUUUUUUUUGUUUUUCUUCAGUAGUAUUUUCUUUUUCUCUUCUCUCACAAUUUUUCUUAUAUAAUGUAUUCCGUUAAGUUACGGAUAGAUAAUGGAUUUUUCUUAUAUUGUAACGGAGCUGCACUACUAGAAAAAGUGGAAUAGACAUCACACUUCAGACAUCAGUUAGAAUUGCCACUGAUGUUAAAAAUGUUUUUAACAUCAUUUUCACUUAAACUGAUGUGUUAAAGUGCUUUAGACAUCAGUUAUUUAUGCAACUGAUAUGUAAGGUACAUGUUUAAAAAAAGUUUCCACCAUUCCCACCCCCAUUUCCCCCUUAUCAAAAAUUUCCCUCCCUUAUAAAAUUUCAACUUCCCUCCCUUAAACAAAUUUCAUCUCCCUCAAUAUUCAUAACAUAAAACUUUGAAAUAAAAUCACUACAAACACAUACAUAUAAAUAUUUAUAUAAAUCAAAAUCAUUAAAAUACCAAAUCAUAUAUAUAUUUCUAAUUUUAAAAUAUUAAAAAACAUUAAAAUACACAAAUCAUAUAUGUUAUAACUUUAAAAUUAUAAAAAUAAAUAUUAAAAAUUAUAAUUAUUCAACUAAGUUAAAAUAUUAAACUAAUUAAAAAUACUCCCACACACACAUAAAUUAUAAUCACCCAACACAUUACAAAUAUAAAAUUACAUAUCUAACAAAAAUAUAAAAUUAAAGCAUAUAUAUACUAAACCAAAAUCAUAACUAAAGACACAUUCACACACACUCAAUCACUAGUUUAUAAAAAAAACGACCCGACAUAUCAAAGCUCAAGAACCCUAAAAUCCUCCUGACAAGAAAUCCCUCUACGUCCCACGAUUCCGUCCCAAUUCAGGCGCUUCAAAAGCUAUAAAUCCUCGAUCCCGUCCCACCUCAGUCCCUUGAUGUCGUUCCCCUGCAUCUCUCUGGUCGCUGCUCAGGGUCAAGGACUCAAAGCUUCAGUUUAAUCAGUGGACUGGGAGCUUAAUUAUUAAGUUGGUAAUCUUUGAAUGAUGUAUACAUGAUGUAUUUAUUUGUUUAUUGGGGUUCUUAUUGUGCUAUUAUAUAUAUAUAUGAUGAUCCUUGAUUUUGGGGUUCUUUAUAUGAGGGCUUCUGAUUUUUAGGGCUCUGCUUGUGUUUUAUAUCUCUUAAGAUUUUAUUGAUUUGGUUUGCUUAUGGUUUGUUUAUGAUUCUGAUGGUUUGGAUUUUAGGGCCUUUUGGUUAUGGUCUGCUUAUAUAUCUCCUUAUGGUUUGCUUGUGAUUCUUCUGGUGUGCUUGUAUAUGUAUGUCUUUGUGGUUUGCGGGUGUGGAAGUAUACUUGAUAAAAAUUAGUGUUGCAACAAAUGAACUGAUAUUAGUAGAAUACAGCAAAUUUAGGGUUAGUUUUGACUGGAAGUAGAGAUACUUGUAUAUAUGAUUAUAUUAACUUAAUAGUUUUGACUGGAACUAUACUUGCUAGUGCCCAAGCUUCUUCAGCAAAUGGGUGGACAAGAGUUAUUGUUGAGAAGCCAUUUGGCCCUGAUUCCAAGUCAUUUUCCGAACUUACUAGAUGUCUAAAGCAGCACUUAGCAGAGGACCAUAUAUUCAGAGUUUCGCUUUGGCAUGAAAACUUCGGGCUACCUCCAUGUGGCCAGCACUUCCUCUUUCUGCAAAGAUAUAUCGAAAACAGGAGUUUUAGAAGAUAUGUUUCCGGACUGUCACCAAGGAAAUUUAUAAUCCAUGGAAAAAGCUAGGAUAUCUGAAUUUCUAAAUUUUAGCCCUAGCUAAAGAGAGAUUCAUUAUCAGCCCUGUUUGCCAAUCUCGGUUUUAGAUUUUGAAGUUUAUAUUUGUUAGAAUUUUUUAGAAACCACAUAUAAUGUGCGCUUCUUUUAUAGAAGUUGGUCUGUUACAAAAUAUUUUUCACUAGAUCGCUGGAUGUAUCUCUUGGUUUCUUGCUUUUAAUUAAGCCCUGUGAUAUUAUGUUUCUAUCAUACUUUGAUGAGAUGCAGGUACUUAAUUCAGUUGAGCCCAGUUGGGAACAGUUUCUUGAACAGACCAACUCAGCACUAGCUGAAAGUUGAGAAAUAUAGCAAAGAAGUUAAAGAAGAAUAUUUCUUCCAUAGCUUUCCUCUGGUUAAUGAAGCUAUUGGUCAAGCUAUGAAGCCUGUUGGAGCCUCCCAUCCUGUGAAGCUUAUCACUUAUGUUCCAGAUGCACAUGAGGAUGAUGAAUAACACCCUCCUGAAUGUGGAUGGAUUACAAGACGGAAGCAUUCAUUAUUGUACUAGCAUUGGCUUGUGGGAGUGGUUGCACGUUGAAAAUCAAUAUAUGGAUGUAGUACAUACUUGAUAUUUAGAUUAGAGGGAUGUGUAGUAGUUGAUCGAUAUUGGAUUUGAUGGAUGUGAUAUUGGAUUUGAUGGAUGUUUAGUAGGUGAGAUUGGAAUUUGAUGGAUGUAUAGAGUACAAUUGGUUUAUAUAUGCAUUAAUAAGAUUUAGUUGUUGAUUU
This is a long non-coding RNA of Daucus carota subsp. sativus, 2799 nucleotides long. RefSeq lists it as uncharacterized. The record is from RefSeq and is a predicted model, not a curated record. The transcript is spliced from 4 exons. Lineage: Eukaryota; Viridiplantae; Streptophyta; Magnoliopsida; Apiales; Apiaceae.